GACGAACGCUGGCGGCGUGCUUAACACAUGCAAGUCGAACGGGAACCUUUAUUUCGGUAAAGGUGAGAGUGGCAAACGGGUGAGUAACACGUAGGCAACCUGCCGACAGGAUGGGGACAACAUUCCGAAAGGAAUGCUAAUACCGAAUGGAGUCCGAGGAUGGCAUCAUCCUUGGAUAAAAGAUGGCCUCUUAACAAUGCUAUCGCCUGUCGAUGGGCCUGCGUCUGAUUAGCCAGUUGGCGGGGUAACGGCCCACCAAAGCGACGAUCAGUAGCCGGUCUGAGAGGAUGAACGGCCACAUUGGGACUGAGACACGGCCCAGACUCCUACGGGAGGCAGCAGUGGGGAAUCUUCCACAAUGGGCGAAAGCCUGAUGGAGCAACGCCGCGUGAGUGAAGAAGGUCUUCGGAUCGUAAAGCUCUGUUGCACGGGACGAAAACCGG
Molecule: ribosomal RNA, 443 nt
Filed under: Selenomonas sputigena
Lineage: Bacteria; Bacillati; Bacillota; Negativicutes; Selenomonadales; Selenomonadaceae
Description: bacterial SSU rRNA
Rfam family: Bacterial small subunit ribosomal RNA
Source: RNAcentral